RNAcentral lists this ribosomal RNA (350 nucleotides) under uncultured Bacillus sp. RNAcentral describes it as "bacterial SSU rRNA". It matches the Rfam family "Bacterial small subunit ribosomal RNA", at positions 568 to 916 of the family's 1533-position model. The record is from RNAcentral. Lineage: Bacteria; Bacillati; Bacillota; Bacilli; Caryophanales; Bacillaceae.
CGCGCAGGCGGUUCUUUAAGUCUGAUGUGAAAUCUCGCGGCUCAACCGCGAGCGGUCAUUGGAAACUGGGGAACUUGAGUGCAGAAGAGGAGAGUGGAAUUCCACGUGUAGCGGUGAAAUGCGUAGAGAUGUGGAGGAACACCAGUGGCGAAGGCGACUCUCUGGUCUGUAACUGACGCUGAGGCGCGAAAGCGUGGGGAGCGAACAGGAUUAGAUACCCUGGUAGUCCACGCCGUAAACGAUGAGUGCUAAGUGUUAGAGGGUUUCCGCCCUUUAGUGCUGCAGCAAACGCAUUAAGCACUCCGCCUGGGGAGUACGGUCGCAAGACUGAAACUUAAAAUAAUUGACGG